This 253-nucleotide ribosomal RNA is filed under the name uncultured bacterium. RNAcentral describes it as "partial 16S ribosomal RNA". It matches the Rfam family "Bacterial small subunit ribosomal RNA", at positions 524 to 776 of the family's 1533-position model. The record is from RNAcentral.
UACGUAGGGGGCUAGCGUUGUCCGGAAUCAUUGGGCGUAAAGCGCGUGUAGGCGGCCCGGUAAGUCCGCUGUGAAAGUCCAGGGCUCAACCCUGGGAUGCCGGUGGAUACUGUCGGGCUCGAGUCCGGAAGAGGCGAGUGGAAUUCCUGGUGUAGCGGUGAAAUGCGCAGAUAUCAGGAGGAACACCAACGGCGAAGGCAGCUCGCUGGAACGGUACUGACGCUGAGGCGCGAAAGCGUGGGGAGCGAACAGG